UACACUCCUGCGGGAGGCAGCAGUGGGGAAUUUUGGCCAAUGGGCGAAAGCCUGAUCCAGCAAUGCCGCGUGUGUGAAGAAGGCCUUCGGGUUGUAAAGCACUUUUGUCCGGAAAGAAAUCCUUGGCUCUAAUACAGUCGGGGGAUGACGGUACCGGAAGAAUAAGCACCGGCUAACUACGUGCCAGCAGCCGCGGUAAUACGUAGGGUGCGAGCGUUAAUCGGAAUUACUGGGCGUAAAGCGUGCGCAGGCGGUUUGCUAAGACCGAUGUGAAAUCCCCGGGCUCAACCUGGGAACUGCAUUGGUGACUGGCAGGCUAGAGUAUGGCAGAGGGGGGUAGAAUUCCACGUGUAGCAGUGAAAUGCGUAGAGAUGUGGAGGAAUACCGAUGGCGAAGGCAGCCCCCUGGGCCAAUACUGACGCUCAUGCACGAAAGCGUGGGGAGCAAACAGGAUUAGAAACCCCGGUAGUCCC
Molecule: ribosomal RNA, 473 nt
Filed under: uncultured organism
Description: partial 16S ribosomal RNA
Rfam family: Bacterial small subunit ribosomal RNA
Source: RNAcentral